Molecule: unclassified non-coding RNA, 649 nt
Filed under: Hevea brasiliensis (rubber tree)
Lineage: Eukaryota; Viridiplantae; Streptophyta; Magnoliopsida; Malpighiales; Euphorbiaceae
Source: RNAcentral
GCGCGCUAGAGAAUUGAGUCAUGUCAGUUGGGUCAGCUUUCUGACUCAUUGAAUUUCGGCCUUGGGCUAGGGAAAAAUCCUCAUAAUGUUUAAUUGCCAAAUUGAUGGUAUCCUGGAAGUUGAUUACCUGAUUUUCAAAGGCUAACUUAUUCCUUCAUUUCCAAAUGUGCCAUUAGAAAAAGACCACCAGGUUUGUCAUGUCCUGCCCAUUUUCACUACUCAUCAGCUUUGUUGUGAUUUCAAUCCAGAGGUCUUUCAUGUUCUGGCUUUGAAGCAAGGUAGAGCGAAGACAUUGAGGGGAAUGUAACCAGAUUUCUAAGGCUUUGGGGCAGCUGAAGAAGAUAUGCCUAAUAGAUUCCACUUCUCCACAGGCAUUGCACUCCGUGGGGAUAUGAGACAAUCUCUUGUUGAGCAAUUCUUUAUUGGGAAGACGCUCCUUUAGAAUUUUCCAUAGAAAGAUGGACAUCUUUUUUGGUAAUUGUAACUUCCAGAUUCCUUUCCAAAAUUUGCUAUUUCCAGCAGUUGAUGAAGGUUCUGGUCCCGCUUGGCCUUUAAGUUGACUAUGUCUGAUGAUUUCUUUUGCGAUAUAGUAGCCAGAAUUCACUGAAUAAGCCCCAUGCCGUGUAUGAUGCCAGAUAAUAGAAUCUGC